CCCCCCCCCCCCCCCCCCACGUGAAAAUUUUAUUUCAAUGUGAAAGUUUCUUUUGAGCUAGCCAUAUUAUUUAGUCAAUGGUUAGGACUUGUGUAUCUUUGUUGUUUAUGACUAUUGGAUCAAGGGGAAACAAUUCAUGUAAAAUACAAAGGGAAGAUUUGUGGGACUUGGAUAAAACAGAAAAUGUUGAUAUCCGGGUCACUCACAGAUGUUCUCAUAUCAUGACCUAUAAAAUAUAAAUAUAUUAAAUUCAAAUUUAUUGGAAUUAUAAAGUUAUGAAGCACAAAACUGUGUCCUGAGUUAC
Molecule: non-coding RNA, 304 nt
Organism: Biomphalaria pfeifferi
Lineage: Eukaryota; Metazoa; Mollusca; Gastropoda; Planorbidae
Source: the annotation of a GenBank genome assembly